This 60-nucleotide non-coding RNA is filed under the name Pan troglodytes (chimpanzee). The record is from RNAcentral. Lineage: Eukaryota; Metazoa; Chordata; Mammalia; Primates; Hominidae. RNAcentral also lists the same sequence under 1 other name.
CGCUGGGUCCGCGCGCCCUGGGCCGGGCGAUGUCCGCUUGGGGGAGCGAGGGGCGGGGCG